This 466-nucleotide ribosomal RNA is filed under the name uncultured bacterium. RNAcentral's name for it is "partial 16S ribosomal RNA". It matches the Rfam family "Bacterial small subunit ribosomal RNA", at positions 28 to 507 of the family's 1533-position model. The record is from RNAcentral.
GACGAACGCUGGCGGCGUGCUUAACACAUGCAAGUCGAACGGAAAGGCCCUGCUUGCAGGGUACUCGAGUGGCGAACGGGUGAGUAACACGUGGGUGAUCUGCCCUGCACUUCGGGAUAAGCUUGGGAAACUGGGUCUAAUACCGGAUAGGAGCCAUCUUUAGUGUGGUGGUUGGAAAGUUUUUUCGGUGUAGGAUGAGCUCGCGGCCUAUCAGCUUGUUGGUGGGGUAAUGGCCUACCAAGGCGGCGACGGGUAGCCGGCCUGAGAGGGUGUACGGCCACAUUGGGACUGAGAUACGGGCCAGACUCCUACGGGAGGCAGCAGUGGGGAAUAUUGCACAAUGGGCGCAAGCCUGAUGCAGCGACGCCGCGUGGGGGAUGAAGGCCUUCGGGUUGUAAACUCCUUUCGCUAGGGACGAAGCUUUUUUGUGACGGUACCUAGACAAGAAGCACCGGCUAACUACGUG